GUCCUCGUGGCCGUCCGAGUUGUAAUCUAGAGAAGCGUCUUCCGCGCUGGACCGUGUACAAGUCUCCUGGAAGGGAGCGUCAUAGAGGGUGAGAAUCCCGUCUUUGACACGGACUGCCAGGGCUAUGUGAUGCGCUCUCGAAGAGUCGAGUUGUUUGGGAAUGCAGCUCAAAACGGGUGGUAAAUUCCAUCUAAAGCUAAAUACAGGCGAGAGACCGAUAGCGAACAAGUACCGUGAGGGAAAGAUGAAAAGAACUUUGGAAAGAGAGUUAAACAGUACGUGAAAUUGCUGAAAGGGAAACGCUUGAUGUCAGUCGCGUCCGCCAGGGAUCAACCUUGCAUUCGUUUGCUGGGCGCAAUUCUUGGUAGGACGGGUCAGCAUCAGUUUCGAUCGUCGUAGAAUGGUCAAGGGAAUGUGGCACCUCCAGGGGUGUGUUAUAGCCCUGGGUCGUAUGCGUCGGUAGGGACUGAGGAACUCGGCACGAACCCCUUUGUGUCUAGGAUGCUGGCAUAAUGGCCUUAAGCGACCCGUCUUGAAACACGGACCAAGGAGUCUAACAUGCCUGCGAGUGUUUGGGUGGUAAAACUCGAGCGCGCAAUGAAAGUGAAAGUCGAGAUCUCUGUCGU
This 626-nucleotide ribosomal RNA is filed under the name Phylloporus subrubeolus. RNAcentral's name for it is "partial large subunit ribosomal RNA". It matches the Rfam family "Eukaryotic large subunit ribosomal RNA", at positions 124 to 750 of the family's 3401-position model. The record is from RNAcentral. Lineage: Eukaryota; Fungi; Basidiomycota; Agaricomycetes; Boletales; Boletaceae.